Molecule: long non-coding RNA, 303 nt
Filed under: Elaeis guineensis (African oil palm)
Lineage: Eukaryota; Viridiplantae; Streptophyta; Magnoliopsida; Arecales; Arecaceae
Description: long non-coding RNA (EGUI_LNC053286)
Source: RNAcentral
UCCCUCUCCCACUGCUACCACUACCGCAGCCCCUCUUCCGGGGACACCGAGCUCUCCCACUCCUAUCCCAGAGGUCUGAGAUCUCUGACCUUGUAUUUUUCUUUCAUUGCAAUUUUUCCUUUUCCUCUUGUCUUUAAGAAAUAUUUAAUCAAUAAAAUUGAGUUCCUCCUCUUGGAGGGCUUCUCCAAUCUGCUCCCCCUUUUUUUGUUUUUGCUUUAUGCAAUGAGAUGCGCUUUGAUGCCUUUAUCUCUCGAUGGCUGCAUCCUGCUGAAGCUCUCCCCUUGCCACAAGGGAUUCCGUUGA